Long non-coding RNA from Hyla sarda, 1302 nucleotides. RefSeq lists it as uncharacterized. The record is from RefSeq and is a predicted model, not a curated record. Lineage: Eukaryota; Metazoa; Chordata; Amphibia; Anura; Hylidae. The transcript has 3 exons.
AGAAGUUCGUGACGAAUUGAAUUUACUGUAAGUUCGCCCAUCUCUAAUGGUAAUCCGUUCCAAACGGACCAUCAUUUGUUGAAACCAUCGCAUGUUGAGGGAUCCGUGCAAUGUCAAGUAUAGGACAGUGGUCUACAACCUGCGGACCUCCAGAUGUUGCAAAACUACAACACCCAGCAUGCAGAUGUUGCAAAACUACAACACCCAGCAUGCCCGGACAGCCGUUGGCUGUCCGGGCAUGCUGGGUGUAGUAGUUUUCUAACAUCUGGCGGUCCACAGGUUGUAGACCACUGUUAGAGGAAGUUGUACUCAUCUGUCCCCGCCGCUCCGGACCGUCAUCGCUGCCCGGGAUGUCGCCGUCCAUCGCUGUCACCGCGUACCCGACGCUCCGGCAAGGCCUCUGCUUCCCCGGCAUCCACACUCUCCGUCACCGCCAUCACGUCGCUACGCACGCCGCACCUAUUGGAUGACGGGACGUGUGCGCAGGGACGUGAUGACGACGAUGGAGAGCGCCGACGAUGCAGGGAUCCUGAAGAGGACCUGCCGGAGCCCCGAGGACAGGUAAGUGAUCGUCAGCGGAUCACACGCGGCACCGUAAACGGCUAUCCGGUGGCAGCUGAAGCAGUCUGCGCGGCCGGAUAGCCGUUUAUGCGAUGGCCCCGACAUACAAAAGCAUCGUAUGUUACUGCUGCCUUCAACAUGCGAUGGCCUGUAUAGUAAAAAUAAUAAAGAUAUAGGGGGAGAUUUAUCAAAACCUGUGCAAAGGAAAAGUUGCCCAUAGCAACCUAUCAAAUUGCUUCUUUCAUUUUGCAGAGGCCUUGUUAAAAAUGAAAGAAGCGAUCUGAUUGGUUGCUAUGUUUUGAUAAAUCUCCCCCAACAUGCUUACCACCCGCUGUCAGGUCUUCCAGUCCCUGCUGCAGCCAUAUUAUUCCUCCUUACGAUUUUUUUUACAUUUCUGCAGGAAUUUCCCAUUCAGUCCAAUAGCCUGUUCAGCGGGAAGUGAAAUGUCAUUUGUAGGAGAAAGGACAGAAGCACAGCGGGGACCAGAAGAUCUGACGGUGGAGAUGGCAAGAAAUGCCCGCUCAGCCACAGCAGUGACCCGCCUCAGAUUAGGGGGUUCUGAGGUAGAGCCCAUUUAUCACCAGAGAGCAACUUCAAUAAACUGUUUGCACAUGAAGUUCCCAUACUGACAGGAGUACACGUGGUGCUGUAUGUGGACCAGAAAUCUCUCAUUGAAUUCAAAGGCACAUGGAAAUUGCUCCAUGAGCUGCCAGACACACUCCAGGAACUGGUCAAUGACUG